Molecule: ribosomal RNA, 274 nt
Filed under: uncultured bacterium
Lineage: Bacteria
Description: partial 16S ribosomal RNA
Rfam family: Archaeal small subunit ribosomal RNA
Source: RNAcentral
AAACCAGCACCUCAAGUGGUCAGGAGGAUUAUUGGGCCUAAAGCAUCCGUAGCCUGUUCUAUAAGUUUCCGGUUAAAUCCACUAGCUCAACUAGUGGGCUGCCGAAAAUACUGUAGAACUAGGGAGUGGGAGAGGUAGACGGUAUUCGGUAGGAAGGGGUAAAAUCCUUUGAUCUAUUGAGGACCACCUGUGGCGAAGGCGGUCUACCAGAACACGUUCGACGGUGAGGGAUGAAAGCUGGGGGAGCAAACAGGAUUAGAAACCCGGGUAGUCC